CCUACGGGAGGCAGCAGUGAGGAAUAUUGGUCAAUGGACGAAAGUCUGAACCAGCCAAGUAGCGUGAAGGAUGACUGCCCUAUGGGUUGUAAACUUCUUUUAUAAAGGAAUAAAACGAGGCACGUGUGCCUUUUUGCAUGUACUUUAUGAAUAAGGAUCGGCUAACUCCGUGCCAGCAGCCGCGGUAAUACGGAGGAUCCGAGCGUUAUCCGGAUUUCUUGGGUUUAAAGGGAGCGUAGAUGGGUUGUUAAGUCAGUUGUGAAAGUUUGCGGCUCAACCGUAAAAUUGCAAUGGAUACUGGCAGUCUUGAGUACAGUUGAGGUAGGCGGAAUUCGUGGUGUAGCGGUGAAAUGCUUAGAUAUCACGAAGAACCCCGAUUGCGAAGGCAGCUUACUAAACUGUGACUGACACUGAUGCUCGAAAGUGUGGGUAUCAAACAGGAUUAGAUACCCCAGUAGUC
This 460-nucleotide ribosomal RNA is filed under the name uncultured bacterium. Its description in RNAcentral is "partial 16S ribosomal RNA". It matches the Rfam family "Bacterial small subunit ribosomal RNA", at positions 338 to 795 of the family's 1533-position model. The record is from RNAcentral.